CGAGCUGGACGGAUUCCAGUAUAGUACUUCGUAGCUCCAGCGAGUAAUCGCUGUGUAACAGCCUACUACCAGUCCCGUCAUAGACAUUCUCGCAACCAGGGAAUGCGUCUGGAGCGAGCGUGCAGCGCUCGAGAAGAGAACCAGAGAAUGUGAGAGCAGCGCGCAAAACCACGUCUCCACAACCGACUUUCACAGAAUUCCUAGAAAUGUGCUUCUCGUAGAUUGCCCAGCGCCAAUAAAGCGGGGAUAUCUGCUCCAGUAACUCAUAGGAAAAUGAAACGGCUUUCCCGAAAGCUGACUUUGGCAUUGGUGGUGCUUUGUUGGAUUGCUGCACUACUGUAUUUGAUACUCUUAAGUAGGCAGAAAGUAUCGGACCUGGGGACUAAAGAUGCACAGUACGGAAAGAUCUCAGAGGCAGAAUGGGACGACCUCCUGGAAGAGUUUGAAGAGAAGAACUACCUCAACGCCAGGCGUUGGAAACCAGGCCAGGACCCGUACAAACUGUAUGCCUUCAACCAGAGAGAGAGUGAGAGGAUACCCAGCAACAGAGUUCUCAGAGACACACGCCAUUACAGGUGCACCACGCUACAUUAUGACCCAGAUCUGCCCUCCACCUCCAUUGUCAUCACCUUCCACAACGAGGCCCGCUCUACUCUGCUACGCACCAUCAGGAGUGUGCUGAACCGGACGCCUGUCCACCUGAUUCACGAGAUCAUCCUGGUAGAUGACUACAGCGAGGAUGCAAAUGACUGCCUUCUACUCACCAAGUUGCCCAAAGUAAAGUGUCUUCGGAAUGACAGGAGAGAAGGUCUGAUCCGCUCCAGGGUUCGUGGGGCGGACGCGGCUAAGGCCGGGGUCCUGACCUUCCUGGACAGUCACUGUGAGGUCAACAAAGACUGGCUGCCUCCGCUGCUCCAGCGGAUCAAAGAGGACCCCACCUGUGUGGUGAGCCCAGUGAUCGACAUCAUUAACAUGGAUACAUUCGCUUACGUAGCAGCCUCCUCUGACCUCCGUGGAGGCUUCGACUGGAGUCUACAUUUCAAGUGGGAGCAGUUGUCUGCUGAACAGAAAGCCAGGAGAGCUGACCCCACCGAACCCAUUAAGACGCCUAUCAUCGCCGGAGGGCUGUUUGUGAUUGACAAGUCGUGGUUCAACCACCUGGGGAAGUAUGACACAGCCAUGGACAUUUGGGGCGGGGAGAACUUUGAGAUCUCGUUCCGGGUGUGGAUGUGUGGAGGGAGCCUAGAGAUUAUCCCCUGCAGCAGGGUCGGCCACGUCUUCCGCAAGAAACACCCCUACAUCUUCCCUGAGGGCAACGCCAACACCUACAUCAAGAACACCAGGCGCACGGCGGAGGUGUGGAUGGACGAGUUCAGGCUCUUCUACUACUCGGCUCGCCCUGCAGCACGGGGCAAGUCCUACGGAGACAUUCAUGGCAGGGAAGAGCUCCGCAAGAUUCUCAAGUGCAAAUCCUUCAAGUGGUAUCUGGACAACGUCUACCCAGAGCUCAAAGUGCCAGAUGAUUCGGACUCUAAGUCGGGGGUGGUUCGUCAAAGACAGAAUUGUCUAGAGUCGCGGAAGCUGGAGGGACAGGACCUCCCCUCUCUCACACUGGCACCCUGCAUCGGGACCAGAUCUGUGCCGGCACUCAACCAGGAGUGGAUCUACACCCACGGGCAGCAGAUUCGCCAGCAACAGCACUGCCUCUCCCUCUCUACCACUUUUCCUGCCUCCCAGGUCAUGCUCAUGCCCUGUAACAUCGGCGACGGGAAACAAGUAAUAGCCCAGAGGGCGCCCGUCCUCACCUGAACACUCAUCACGCCGGCCCCCUGCCGGCCCCCUGCCUCAAACGAGCAAAGUCACUUCUGACAAGCCAUAAAUCAACUUUCACUUAGGCAGUCUGAUAGUGCAGUGGAGAGUGUGCCUGAGAGCUCCGGGUUCUGCCUGUAUCACCAGCCAGCUGCUGCUGCCGCUGCUGCUGCACCCUGAGACAGAGGCAAGGUCCUCCCCAGUCUGUUUCGGCUUAUCUAACAGUAUGCUAGCGAGGCUGUUUACAUGGUUUGAGUCUGUAUGAAAAGGUUGUACAUGUUUUAUUGACAUUCCUGGUAAACAAGGAGGAAAACAAAACAGAGUUGGUUUGUGGAGAUACUGUUUAUGAGUGGGAGGGUGUUUUGAGCAGCAUGCAUGACUGUAAAAUGUAUUCACAUUGUUUUGUUUGGGUGGUGACUGCAGGAACAGAUGAUUCAUGAAUAUGUGGUGAUAAUGAUGUAGUGUCUGGUGAAAAGAUAGGAAGUGAGAGACAGAAGGAUCGCGAGAGUGAUGGAGAGAGAAAGAGAGGAUAAAUAGCACACUUAAAACAUUAUACACAGCUCAGUUACAGUCUAGUGUUCCAUAGAUAAGUCAGAACCACAUAAUAGACCUCUGAAUUGGCAGGUAGAUUUUAGGUCUCCCACUUUUCGAAGUUGCGCAGGUAUAUACUACCUCCUCCUGCUAAAAAGGCUCCCAAAGCAACAUGUUCCACCCCUGGCACAUAGACGGAAACUGUUCAAUAAUAGCUAAUUAGAGCCGUGCUCAUGUGUUCCCCUCAGGCCACUGUAGGCUACAGCAGAGAGAGGCUCUCAGGAGCCUAUAAAUGUGCUUAACUAUCAAUUGUGCAUCAACAGCCAGUAACAAGAAGAAUUACUUAGAGGCACCACAGGCACUGAAUACAAAUUGAUUUUGUUUUAAUUAUUUUCUUUUAUCAAUUAAAAAGUGCAGUCUCACUUUGCUUCAUAAAAAAAUUGAAGAAAAACAUGUCAUGGCAAUUUGAGUCUUUCCUGCUUUGAUCAGGGUCACAAUGGAACAGAGCUUGUUUCUGUUCACUGACUUUAAAUACUCUGAAACAAAGACGCUCUGUAUCUCUACCAUAUCCACCCUUGGUUUUUCUGCCAUUUUAUUCCUUGGGCGGGUCGCCAAAACAUUUUUUUUUCAAGUCGAUUUUCAGGAUGGAAAAAUGCUUUCAGUGUAAAUUUAAACAACCAACUAAAACCAGAUAUAAAGUAUGUAGAAAAUAUAAUGGACCUAUAUCUUGUUUUUUUUAUAAUAUCAUCUUUGAGAACUAACAAUUACCAAAAUAAAAGGUAGACAGUCAGGGAGAAUUGAAAAUUCCAAAAACAAUGAAUUUAGUAGUGUUCAUUAUGUUAUUAUGUUUGAGAAAAAAAGCACAGCAUUAGCCAUGGUGAAAAGCAUAGAAUUACAGGAAACUAGCUUUAAAACAGCAUGAUUUUCUCCCAGCUCCAUGGUAGAAUAUGUAUAAUUGCAGGAAAUGAACUUUAAAACGGCAACAUUUUCUCUACAUGGCAAGACAUUUGUUUGAGUUUCAGGAUAUUGGCUCAAAAAUUCAAACAAUUCUCUUCACCAUGGAGAUGGGGGCCUGUUCACAAAAUUGUAGCCACUCACAUGGGCCAGCUGCUAAUUGCCACGCCUCCUGCCACGCCCACAACCUUUGCCCUUUUUGAUCCAGAAAAUCCCCUUGAUAUCCACUGUAUUGUUUCUACCACUGAAGAGAGGCGUGAUCAUGAUACGCUCCACUAGUCUUGGCAACAGGCUUUGCCUGUCAGCCGUCAUGUUCUAACCAGUGAUGGAUGUGUGAGGCAAUGACAAAUUCCUUGCAUGUUUGCUAAUAUCCUCUAGUUUUGUUCAUGUACAAGUUCAACAAUAUCAACAAGAAGAAGAAUUCCCUGCUCAAAAUGAGUGACUCACCAGAAAUUGAGUAAAGAGGGACAUCUAGUGGUGAAUAGUGGGAAGAGUGCCAUGUGCCAUGAACAUGACAUGCAAUAAAGAUCAUUAGCUAAAAAUGAAGUUGACAUAAUUACAGGCGAUGGCAGAAGUCAGGCACCCAUCUGGAGCACCUGGCCUCCCACUUCUGCCUGGACAGUGAGAUGGCCCUGGACGGCAUCGAGAGCAGUAAGAUGCUGGUGAUCAGCCCCUGUGAACUGACAGCCUACACCCAGA
Oncorhynchus mykiss (rainbow trout) is the source of this 3993-nucleotide non-coding RNA. The record is from RefSeq and is a predicted model, not a curated record. NCBI's taxonomy places the organism in Eukaryota, Metazoa, Chordata, Actinopteri, Salmoniformes, Salmonidae.